This 339-nucleotide ribosomal RNA is filed under the name Triticum aestivum (bread wheat). RNAcentral's name for it is "partial small subunit ribosomal RNA". Lineage: Eukaryota; Viridiplantae; Streptophyta; Magnoliopsida; Poales; Poaceae. The record is from RNAcentral.
AUGCAUUGGUUUGCGUGGUGGAAGUUGUGCAUCCCGAAACAGAAGGGGGGAUUGGGGUUUAGGGACCUUCAUAGUUUUAAUCUUGCUAUGUUAGCAAAACAGUGUUGGCGACUUCUCCAAAACCUGGACUCUUUGUGUGCUCAGGUCCUUAGCACUAAAUAUCAUCCAGAUGGAAAUUUGCUGAAAGCUGGUCAAAAAAAGGGCCAUCAUAUACAUGGCAAAGUAUCGUGGCAGGCAUACAGACGUUCCAAAGAGGAUGUAUAUAAAGAGUUGGAUCCGGGUCCCAAAUUAAUAUUUGGUGUGACCCGUGGAUACCAACUAGUGCAUCACGGAAGGUAA